UGGCUGCAGGCAGACCUCGUCCGGACUCCUACGGGAGCCAGACUCCAUUCACGACUUCAAUCACAGGUAGACUUCGUUUGGACUCCUACGGAAGUCGCACUCUGCCCAUAACUUCAAUCACAGGAGGACUUCGUCGGACUCCUACGAGAGUCGGACUUCGAGCUCCUAUUGCAAGCGACCCACUCCGAGUGACUGCUGCAAACGAACUACUUCAAGUUCCUACCA
RNAcentral lists this long non-coding RNA (225 nucleotides) under Elaeis guineensis (African oil palm). RNAcentral's name for it is "long non-coding RNA (EGUI_LNC078088)". Lineage: Eukaryota; Viridiplantae; Streptophyta; Magnoliopsida; Arecales; Arecaceae. The record is from RNAcentral.